CCUACGGGCGGCAGCAGUGGGGAAUAUUGGACAAUGGGGGCAACCCUGAUCCAGCCAUGCCGCGUGUGUGAAGAAGGCCCUCGGGUUGUAAAGCACUUUCAGUGAGGAAGAACGCCUGGUGGUUAAUACCCAUCAGGAAAGACAUCACUCACAGAAGAAGCACCGGCUAACUCCGUGCCAGCAGCCGCGGUAAUACGGAGGGUGCGAGCGUUAAUCGGAAUUACUUGGCGUAAAGCGCGCGUAGGUGGCUUGAUAAGCCGGUUGUGAAAGCCCCGGGCUCAACCUGGGAACGGCAUCCGGAACUGUCAAGCUAGAGUGCAGGAGAGGAAGGUAGAAUUCCCGGUGUAGCGGUGAAAUGCGUAGAGAUCGGGAGGAAUACCAGUGGCGAAGGCGGCCUUCUGGACUGACACUGACACUGAGGUGCGAAAGCGUGGGUAGCAAACAGGAUUAGAUACCCGGGUAGUC
This 465-nucleotide ribosomal RNA is filed under the name Vreelandella stevensii. RNAcentral's name for it is "partial 16S ribosomal RNA". It matches the Rfam family "Bacterial small subunit ribosomal RNA", at positions 338 to 795 of the family's 1533-position model. Lineage: Bacteria; Pseudomonadati; Pseudomonadota; Gammaproteobacteria; Oceanospirillales; Halomonadaceae. The record is from RNAcentral.